UAAUACAUGCAAGUCGAGCGGACCGACGGGAGCUUGCUCCCUUAGGUCAGCGGCGGACGGGUGAGUAACACGUGGGUAACCUGCCUGUAAGACUGGGAUAACUCCGGGAAACCGGGGCUAAUACCGGAUGCUUGAUUGAACCGCAUGGUUCAAUCAUAAAAGGUGGCUUUUAGCUACCACUUGCAGAUGGACCCGCGGCGCAUUAGCUAGUUGGUGAGGUAACGGCUCACCAAGGCGACGAUGCGUAGCCGACCUGAGAGGGUGAUCGGCCACACUGGGACUGAGACACGGCCCAGACUCCUACGGGAGGCAGCAGUAGGGAAUCUUCCGCAAUGGACGAAAGUCUGACGGAGCAACGCCGCGUGAGUGAUGAAGGUUUUCGGAUCGUAAAACUCUGUUGUUAGGGAAGAACAAGUACCGUUCGAAUAGGGCGGUACCUUGACGGUACCUAACCAGAAAGCCACGGCUAACUACGUGCCAGCAGCCGCGGUAAUACGUAGGUGGCAAGCGUUGUCCGGAAUUAUUGGGCGUAAAGCGCGCGCAGGCGGUUUCUUAAGUCUGAUGUGAAAGCCCCCGGCUCAACCGGGGAGGGUCAUUGGAAACUGGGGAACUUGAGUGCAGAAGAGGAGAGUGGAAUUCCACGUGUAGCGGUGAAAUGCGUAGAGAUGUGGAGGAACACCAGUGGCGAAGGCGACUCUCUGGUCUGUAACUGACG
Molecule: ribosomal RNA, 715 nt
Filed under: uncultured Bacillus sp.
Lineage: Bacteria; Bacillati; Bacillota; Bacilli; Caryophanales; Bacillaceae
Description: bacterial SSU rRNA
Rfam family: Bacterial small subunit ribosomal RNA
Source: RNAcentral